GACGAACGCUGGCGGCGUGCUUAACACAUGCAAGUCGAACGAAGAGCGAUGGAAGCUUGCUUCUAUCAAUCUUAGUGGCGAACGGGUGAGUAACGCGUAAUCAACCUGCCCUUCAGAGGGGGACAACAGUUGGAAACGACUGCUAAUACCGCAUACGAUCUAAUCUCGGCAUCGAGGAUAGAUGAAAGGUGGCCUCUACAUGUAAGCUAUCACUGAAGGAGGGGAUUGCGUCUGAUUAGCUAGUUGGAGGGGUAACGGCCCACCAAGGCGAUGAUCAGUAGCCGGUCUGAGAGGAUGAACGGCCACAUUGGGACUGAGACACGGCCCAGACUCCUACGGGAGGCAGCAGUGGGGAAUCUUCCGCAAUGGACGAAAGUCUGACGGAGCAACGCCGCGUGAGUGAUGACGGCCUUCGGGUUGUAAAGCUCUGUUAAUCGGGACGAAAGGCCUUCUUGCGAAUAGUGAGAAGGAUUGACGGUACCGGAAUAGAGAGCCACGGCUAACUACGUG
RNAcentral lists this ribosomal RNA (510 nucleotides) under uncultured bacterium. RNAcentral's name for it is "partial 16S ribosomal RNA". It matches the Rfam family "Bacterial small subunit ribosomal RNA", at positions 28 to 507 of the family's 1533-position model. The record is from RNAcentral.